Molecule: long non-coding RNA, 633 nt
Filed under: Malus domestica (apple)
Lineage: Eukaryota; Viridiplantae; Streptophyta; Magnoliopsida; Rosales; Rosaceae
Description: long non-coding RNA (MDOM_LNC016615)
Source: RNAcentral
UUAUGUUAUACUUAAUGAAAGUUUAAAUAAACUUUAAGUGUUAGUGAAUCUAUCGUUUUGAUGGGAUACGAAUUCUAUGAAAUUAAUUUUAACGAUCCAACCAUUAAACUUGUUUGUAUAUGCUUCGAGAUUGCAUAUGCCAAAAAUAAAAAAAAACAAACAUUCAGAGAUCAAGAAAUGAGACAAAACUUUUCGACGGUUAUAAAACAAAAAAUCACGAUUUAACGGUUAUUUUAACUCCGAUUUUGAUGAUUUUUUACAACUAUACUCCUUGACUCUAUACGAAUACAAUGAAUGAAUUCGAUCGACAAUUUAAAAUAUUUACACAAGUGGAUACCACAAAAUCUUAUGUUAUACUUAAUGAAAGUAUAAAUAAAGUCUAAGUGUUAGUGAAUCUAUCGUUUUGAUGGGAUACGAAUUCUAUCAAACUAAUUUUAACGAUCCAACCGUCAAACUUGUUUUAUAUGCUUCGAGAUCGCAUACGCCAAAAAUCACAACAAACAAACAUUCAGAGAUCAAGAAAUGAGACAAAAAAAUUCGACUGUUAUAAAACAAAAAAUCACAAUUUAACGGUUAUUUUAACUCCGAUUUUGAUGAUUUUUUUACAACGACACUCCUUGACCCUAUACAAAU